GAAAAAACAAACACCAGAGAAAAAUACUAAACAUUAAGUUUUUACCAAAACCAAUAUCUACUACUAAUACACGCUACAACCAGCAAUCAGUUUAUAAUUAUUCCCUCACAAACAAUUCACACUGAAUUUCAUCAAUCAGGGUAUUAUCUUUUUGAACUCAAAGACAUUAUGUGCUACAAAAAUAAGUUUAUAAUUAUAAGAAAAGAAAA
RNAcentral lists this unclassified non-coding RNA (209 nucleotides) under Hevea brasiliensis (rubber tree). Lineage: Eukaryota; Viridiplantae; Streptophyta; Magnoliopsida; Malpighiales; Euphorbiaceae. The record is from RNAcentral.